GCAUAUCAAUUAAGCGGAGGAAAAGAAACUAACAAGGAUUCCCCUAGUAGCGGCGAGCGAAGCGGGAAAAGCUCAAAUUUGUAAUCUGGCGUCUUCGACGUCCGAGUUGUAAUCUCGAGAAGUGUUUUCCGUGAUAGACCGCAUACAAGUCUCUUGGAACAGAGCGUCAUAGUGGUGAGAACCCAGUACACGAUGCGGAUGCCUAUUACUUUGUGAUACACUUUCGAAGAGUCGAGUUGUUUGGGAAUGCAGCUCAAAUUGGGUGGUAAAUUCCAUCUAAAGCUAAAUAUUGGCGAGAGACCGAUAGCGAACAAGUACCGUGAGGGAAAGAUGAAAAGCACUUUGGAAAGAGAGUUAACAGUACGUGAAAUUGUUGGAAGGGAAACACAUGCAGUGAUACUUGCUAUUCGGGGCAACUCGAUUGGCAGGCCCGCAUCAGUUUUUCGGGGCGGAAAAGCGUAGAGAGAAGGUAGCAAUUUCGGUUGUGUUAUAGCUCUUUACUGGAUUCGCCCUGGGGGACUGAGGAACGCAGCGUGCUUUUAGCAAUUCCUUCGGGAAUUCCACGCUUAGGAUGCGGGUUUAUGGCUGUAUAUGACCCGUCUUGAAAACACGGACC
Molecule: ribosomal RNA, 616 nt
Filed under: Sporobolomyces ruberrimus
Lineage: Eukaryota; Fungi; Basidiomycota; Microbotryomycetes; Sporidiobolales; Sporidiobolaceae
Description: eukaryotic LSU rRNA
Rfam family: Eukaryotic large subunit ribosomal RNA
Source: RNAcentral